Molecule: non-coding RNA, 1350 nt
Organism: Phoenix dactylifera (date palm)
Lineage: Eukaryota; Viridiplantae; Streptophyta; Magnoliopsida; Arecales; Arecaceae
Source: RefSeq, a predicted model, not a curated record
CGGACACCUUAAUCUUGCUUUUAGGAAAGUUUGGUUUGUUAUCAUGCAUCAUCAUAUUAUUUUGUCAAAGAAAUCUCAUAUUGCUAUACUGAUUGCUUAUUGUUUUUUGGAAAGUGGCUGUUUGGUGUUCAGAAGUGCCCAAUUUCCUAUCCUUCAGGAUUUGGGACUUAGGUGCUUAUAAAAAAGUCUUCAAGCGAAAUAAGUUGGAUUGGCUUUGGUUCAAUCCAAGACUGAUAUGUGUCCGAAUUGGAUGAAAAAUUUGAAUCCAAUCUUUAUCCAUUUCCAUUUGAUUGGGUUUGGAUUGUCUUAAAAUUCAUGCUAGUAAUUUUUUGGGCUUUUCAGGUUGAUUCAGGUUUAAGAUAACCCAAACAGGAAUAGUCUGAACAUAGAUAUGGACAGCUUUAGUUAUAACCUAAACAAGUAAUGAAGAAAUUACAAAUUAUAAGAUAUAGCCUUAUCAACAUCCCAUUCCAUGUAUCUCGAUUAAUAAAGACAUAGAAGUUGUCGUUGGAAAGCAAAUCGAUUUGUAACUACAUAGAAGUUAUCAGUAACAGUGUAUUAGUUUCUUGAAUGCAAGGCAUGUCAGCAUUGGGUGGGGAAAGCAUAUUGUUUUAGCUUUUGGUUGGUUAGGAUUCAAGUUAGGUUAUAUAUGAUUCACAUGUCCAAUCCAUGAUUGAAAUGGGUAGAAAUUUUUGAUUCAAAACCCUAGCAAACUGACUUUGGUUUUGAUGUAGCUUUUCAUUCUUGGAUUGAUUUUGAAUCCAAAACAGGUGAAUCAAUCCACUUGGCCUUACUCAUGUCUUCAACAAGUUGUAUACUGUUGUGCAGACUGAAUCAUGUUCAAUACAUGCAAGUGAUUUCAGGAUUGGGAGCAUGCUAUGAAGAGAGGAGGGAGCGGGAGGCAAGGCGAUAGUUUUGGGGUAAAACGGUCUGCUGCCUGCUCGAGGUCUUUUUUCUGAUCCUGUUGAGAGCAGGCCCCAUGACCUGAUGUCUCUCUUCUGCUCUCCCACUCCCUUCUUCCCUGGUCCUGGGUUAUCUGGAUCCAGCAGGAAGUACCCAAAUAGGCCUUAAUUUCUUGAAAGAUGUGUCUGUUAUAUGUGCUCAACACUAAUAAUAGAACUGGUAGCUAUAAGAUAUGCUUUAGUUGAUAAGGGGAUAGAAGCAUUGGAAGCUGGUGCGUGGGCUACUAAUUCAGUGGUCGUGAUAGCCGAGAGUAGAUUUUUUAGCUACUAAGGUCUUAGAUUUUGUAGAUACUAAGGUCAAACUAUUUAUUAUCUCAAGUAUUUCAUUGUUUGCAUCUCAUUUUUCCGUUGGUGAAAUUUUAAAGACUUCACAAACAAUUUCAUGAUA